UUUCAUUUAAUGAAUGAAGACUGCUGUGGUUGCUUCGGUUUACUUUUGGUUUCUCUGCUGCUAUUGUGAACGUUAAAAAAGAUCUAUCUCUCUCUUUCUCUCCCAAUUUGUUUAUUUGUGUCCUGGUCUCCCCUGUUUUGAAAUGCUUUUAUCCUUUCUCUUGUGUUAUUGGUGUUUAGUAGGGUGAACAGUCUGGAAAGGAGACUGAUCGUUUCGGUUCAUCCGAGUCUUCCCUCCAGGUGCAGCGGCAUCUUACUCUUGCUUUCUAAUGGCUGGACCUGCUGUAGCAUAUAACAACUGUUAGCAAAGAAGAUGCAUGUACUACAAAGCAAACAUUUAUUUUAUUUUUAUAAUUUCUGUAUUUUAAAUAUUACCUUGCCUAUGUGGGGUAAGGUUUAAACCAUAUGUGUGGUUUCCGUUGCUUUAUUCUUUCAUUUAAUUGGAAGGGACUUAAGCGGGGAUCACAAUAUUGAAGAUCAGGUGUACAAAUGAGAACAUGGCAUUCCUGUACGGUCCUUCUGGAGGGAAGUAUAAUGCACAGAGGCAUCCCCCCCCCCCCCCCCCCCCUGAGGAUUUCUUCAUACCUGAAUUGCACCAGAUUGGGUCUUAAAAGAGAGCAUGAGAGAGGUGGUGGAGCCAUUCAGAUGGUUGCUGAUGCACUUGCUAUUUGCCCUUAACUCUCUAAAAAUGUCCACUGUCUUUUUAUACUGAAAUGAAUGAUUUAGAUUAGCUUGCUAGUCAGCAGUUUUGAGUGGUGUACAGGUCUGCAUUGUUGCAAUUGUUGAACUAAAACAUAGGUAGAACAAUUUUAACAACCCAUUUAAUUGUUAAAUAUUUGUACUUGGUUUGAAAAAUAAAGUAAAUACUUUUUCAAAAUA
This is a long non-coding RNA of Acipenser ruthenus (sterlet), 878 nucleotides long. RefSeq lists it as uncharacterized. The transcript is spliced from 4 exons. The record is from RefSeq and is a predicted model, not a curated record. Lineage: Eukaryota; Metazoa; Chordata; Actinopteri; Acipenseriformes; Acipenseridae.